AAUAAAAAGAUAGCGAAGGACGAAGUGAUACCCUCACCUCGUUUCCAAUACUAUUUCGUUCCGCCUGCCUCAACAAUGAAACGCUAGCAGCAGACGAUAGAAAAGCUGGUUGGUAGACACAAAAGCUCUGCGGGGGAAGCACUGCAGGGUGGUUUAGAGAGGCGAUCGAAGAGUUCCGGAGGGAGUACCUCUUGGAAGGAACUCAUUGGGAACUGGGUGUUAGUGACAAUUGUGGUGAUAGUGCUCGUGUUAGGGUAUUGCUAGGGACCAAACGGCAACGAACGAAGCAGUCAGAGCAAAAGUUCGUAGCCGGAAUUUAAGCCAGCCAAAAAAUAUCAAGUACACGCGCCGUUCCUUUGAUGCCUUGACAACAACGGACAAGGAAAAGAUUAGGACGAAACACAAGAAUCAAGAAAAGAAGCCAACUAGUAAGGAGGUGGGAAAGUCCAAUUUAUGCUAUUUCGUCGUGUAGGUGCGACAGUAUCGGUGGGAUGCGCAGGCGUCGGACAAGAGGCUAGAAGGAGACUAGCGUCUAUUGCGUUUGAGCCCUCAACGAUGGGCAUCUCUCCGGGCUCCAUACGAACGAGGAGCAUUAGGGCGAGCCCGCCACAGAAACGUUAGUGGAGCCUGACUGCCGGCUGCAGUGCACAACUGCUUAUGGGUGGCAGUUUUCGUGCCUCGACUUUGAAGCUCGAAUCCGUUUGCCCACGCUGGGGCGACAACUCACGUAGCGCUGGCAGAGGAGCCUAUAGAGCUAGAGGGUGCCAGUAAACAGUCCCUUAUGCAGUCACUUCGCUGUCUACUGCGGCAGUUGGAAGCAGCGGUACAAAUACGGAGAAUUGCCUUCAGGAAGGUGCUUCGACAGAUAAAUGUGUCGGCUUGGGAGAUAGUCGACAGUCACAGCAUUCUACCUGUGUUCACACGUAGAUCGUCCUACGGAUAGAACAGUGACACGGUAGCUAACCCCCGACAUAAAACGUACUAUAUCUACGCCCGGUUUCAAAUCUAGACUCACACACACUGUUGCUACUGCUUCGCCCCGUGCUGCCACAAUCGUUACUAGUAAUACGAUUGCAUCCCAGGCCCACUUCACGUAUAACCUUAGAUCCGGACGACGAACUCGCUCUAUUGCGGGCAUGAUCCGCUAGUUUUCUCACGACCGAUCGCAUGUCGCUAUUUCAUUGGAACUUAAAGGUCGGCCUGGAGACAGUGAAAUGAUCGUUACCGGACAAUGUGAAAGCAUAGCUUAGUACAUAUUGCGAGCGGGAUCAGGGGUCUGUCUAUCUGGCAACAAAUUCAGCUAAACUCUGGUGCCUGAAGCGGCUAAUCCUAUCCCACUUCCCUGUCAGUCUUUCGACUAGUUGCAUGAUUGCGACUAUUCCUCCGUAAGGAUGGUGCGGAUAGAAUGUGCAAUGACCCGUAAAUGAAGCGAAGCAAAAGGACCGGCCAUCUUCAAAACGCACUUACAAGCUAGUCCGUUAGCAUAAAGACAGGGUGCAAAAUCACACUUCCAUCAAAUUUUUCUCUUUAGUUUCGCUGCCUCCACCCGAAGGAAAGACGUUAAACACGACUUCGUGUCGACAGGACGGCAAGAAGGGACACAUGCAGAUAUAACGUAGGCUGAUAGGCAUUUGUUGAUCACUUUUGACUGGAUCUCACCGAGCCCUGGAUCGUAACGCGGACAAGAUGUACAGGGCAGGGAAUGAUCACCGGUUCAACGCUUUUGAAUAUGAAAAACUAGAUGACGCUAUUGUGCCAUGGCGAACGCCUUCUUAUCGCUUUAACGACAAUCAGGAUGCUGAUUUUUAUCACGUUUUGUACGAGAUGAAUUUCGAGGAACAUGCAGAUUCGGAGGGCCGCUAUGGAAAAACGGAUAAUCCUUUGGGUCAACGCCCCGUCGAUCAAAUUCGAAUUAUGCAUUAAUGGACACUUUUCGAGGUGUUAUCCAUAGCAUCGGCAAUGUUUGUGCACCUGAGAAGAAACGAAGCAUACGAAACAAUCAUUUUAUGUACUAAGGAUUUCCAGUAUCGGCUUAUCAGCGGUUUCUUCUAGCCAUUGGUAUUGGAAGGCUCGCGUACGCCAAGAAAUACGCAAUUGUUUGACAAGAUAACUGUCUGCAUGUCUUGAAAACAGUUCCUACUCUUGCUAUGUUCACCACCUGGCUUUUCUUUUCGGGAAUGCGCCGCGAUGUCGAAGAUCACCCGACCAACGAGCCAAGCAAGUUCGAUCGUAAUUCGGGAAACCAACUGCAGGAAAAGCGAAAAGUCAAAUUGACGUAGAAGUUUCAAAAUGGAGCUGGCGUGCCGGUAAGGAUAAUGAGGACCUGCGGAUACCCAUAGGGCCGGGCAAACAUAAUACUUCCGGUUGCAAGAUAGUGCAAAGCUCACGUUUUAGAGGGAAAUGAGUUGCCCUUUAAUAACGCCUCCCCAAAUUCUUAACCCUACAAUCUAGCAGUGAAAGUGUGCUAUGAACGGUACCGGUAUAAACACAAAAUAAAUGAUGGAACUCCAGUCUCU
Molecule: long non-coding RNA, 2516 nt
Organism: Varroa destructor (honeybee mite)
Lineage: Eukaryota; Metazoa; Arthropoda; Arachnida; Mesostigmata; Varroidae
Source: RefSeq, a predicted model, not a curated record